UCCUACGGGAGCCGGACUCCGCCAACAACUACAACCGCAAGCGACCUCUGCACAGACUCCUACGGGAGCCGGGCUCCGUCCUCAACUCCAACCACUGGUAAGCCCCUGUCCGGACUCCUACGGGAGCCGGACCUCUCCUUUGACUUUAAUUGCAGGGAGACUCCACCCGGACUCCUACGGGAGCCGGGCUUCAUCCUCGACUCCAACGGCUGCAAGACAGACUGCAUCCGGACUCCUACGGGAGCCGGACUCC
Molecule: long non-coding RNA, 253 nt
Filed under: Elaeis guineensis (African oil palm)
Lineage: Eukaryota; Viridiplantae; Streptophyta; Magnoliopsida; Arecales; Arecaceae
Description: long non-coding RNA (EGUI_LNC049464)
Source: RNAcentral